GACGUAGGGCGCAAGCGUUGUCCGGAAUUAUUGGGCGUAAAGAGCUCGUAGGCGGCUUGUUGCGUCGACUGUGAAAACCCGUGGCUCAACCAUGUGGUCUGCAGUCGAUACGGGCAGGCUAGAAUUCGGUAGGGGAGACUGGAAUUCCUGGUGUAGCGGUGAAAUGCGCAGAUAUCGGGAGGAACACCAAUGGCGAAGGCAGCUCGCUGGGACGUUACUGACGCUGAGACGCGAAAGCGUGGGGAGCGAACAGG
This 254-nucleotide ribosomal RNA is filed under the name uncultured bacterium. RNAcentral's name for it is "partial 16S ribosomal RNA". It matches the Rfam family "Bacterial small subunit ribosomal RNA", at positions 524 to 776 of the family's 1533-position model. The record is from RNAcentral.